This 73-nucleotide non-coding RNA is filed under the name unclassified sequences. Its description in RNAcentral is "RAGATH-18 RNA". It matches the Rfam family "RAGATH-18 RNA". Rfam says of the family: Actinobacteria, Firmicutes, Fusobacteria, Thermotogae (1 example). Nearby to self-cleaving ribozyme genes The record is from Rfam by way of RNAcentral.
CCUAUGGAGAGUACAAGAACUUGUGAGUAGUAUUUGUUUCGACAGUGCAAAAGCAUACUCGUUGAAGUAGGAA